GUAAUUACUCGUGGCCCUCGUGAAAUUCCUGCCCUUGUUUCUACAUUAAAAAUAACUUAAUUACAUUAAAAGAUGACCGACAGCCUUCAGAAUUUCAGUAAUUGUGUUUUUAGUGACAUGAGUUAAUCUGAGCUAGCUUGGAAGCUACACGGCUAGUGUUACGUCCCCUGUUCUGUGUAUAGGUUUGUGUAUGUGUUCUGUUUUGUGUGUGUGUUCAUACAGGUGGUACUGAUCAUCCAUGAUCUCCAUUCAUCUUGGCUCCACCCCCGCUCGUUACCCGGUUCAGCUGUUUCCACUCAUCUCCAAUCCCAUCAUGCCCUUCUGGGGAUGAGGAGUAGUUUAGCCCUACUCUGGA
This is a long non-coding RNA of Gasterosteus aculeatus aculeatus (three-spined stickleback), 355 nucleotides long. NCBI's taxonomy places the organism in Eukaryota, Metazoa, Chordata, Actinopteri, Perciformes, Gasterosteidae. The record is from Ensembl.